RNAcentral lists this ribosomal RNA (467 nucleotides) under uncultured bacterium. RNAcentral describes it as "partial 16S ribosomal RNA". It matches the Rfam family "Bacterial small subunit ribosomal RNA", at positions 28 to 506 of the family's 1533-position model. The record is from RNAcentral.
GACGAACGCUGGCGGCGUGCUUAACACAUGCAAGUCGAACGGAAAGGCCCUGCUUUUGUGGGGUGCUCGAGUGGCGAACGGGUGAGUAACACGUGAGUAACCUGCCCUUGACUUUGGGAUAACUUCAGGAAACUGGGGCUAAUACCGGAUAGGAGCUCCUGCUGCAUGGUGGGGGUUGGAAAGUUUCGGCGGUUGGGGAUGGACUCGCGGCUUAUCAGCUUGUUGGUGGGGUAGUGGCUUACCAAGGCUUUGACGGGUAGCCGGCCUGAGAGGGUGACCGGCACCAUUGGGCCUGAGAUACGGCCCAGACUCCUCCGGGAGGCAACGGUGGGGAAUAUUCCACAAUGGGCGGAGGCCUGAUGCAGCAACGCCGCGUGCGGGAUGACGGCCUUCGGGUUGUAACCCGCUUUCGCCUGUGACGAAGCGUGAGUGACGGUAAUGGGGAAAGAAGCACCGGCUAACUACGU